Molecule: ribosomal RNA, 1222 nt
Filed under: Enterococcus faecium
Lineage: Bacteria; Bacillati; Bacillota; Bacilli; Lactobacillales; Enterococcaceae
Description: partial 23S ribosomal RNA
Rfam family: Bacterial large subunit ribosomal RNA
Source: RNAcentral
ACGGGACUAACACCGAUAUGCUUUGGGGAGCUGUACGUAAGCUAUGAUCCAGAGAUUUCCGAAUGGGGGAACCCAACAUCUUUAAUAGGAUGUUACGAUUGUGUGAAUACAUAGCACAUUCGAGGUAGACGCAGAGAACUGAAACAUCUAAGUACCUGCAGGAAGAGAAAGAAAAUUCGAUUCCCUGAGUAGCGGCGAGCGAAACGGGAAAAGCCCAAACCAGCAAGCUUGCUUGUUGGGGUUGUAGGACUCCAAUAUGGUAGUUCUUUCAGAUAGUCGAAUGACUUGGAAAAGUCAGUCAAAGAGGGUAAAAACCCCGUAGACGAAAUGUGGAAGACACCUAGGAGGAUCCUGAGUACGGCGGAACACGAGAAAUUCCGUCGGAAUCCGGGAGGACCAUCUCCCAAGGCUAAAUACUCCCUAGUGACCGAUAGUGAACCAGUACCGUGAGGGAAAGGUGAAAAGCACCCCGGAAGGGGAGUGAAAUAGAACCUGAAACCGUGUGCCUACAACAAGUCAAAGCCCGUUAAUGGGUGAUGGCGUGCCUUUUGUAGAAUGAACCGGCGAGUUACGAUUGCAUGCGAGGUUAAGUUGAAGAGACGGAGCCGCAGCGAAAGCGAGUCUGAAUAGGGCGUUUGAGUAUGUAGUCGUAGACCCGAAACCAUGUGAUCUACCCAUGUCCAGGUUGAAGGUGCGGUAAAACGCACUGGAGGACCGAACCCACGUACGUUGAAAAGUGCGGGGAUGAGGUGUGGGUAGCGGAGAAAUUCCAAACGAACUUGGAGAUAGCUGGUUCUCUCCGAAAUAGCUUUAGGGCUAGCCUCGGAAUUGAGAAUGAUGGAGGUAGAGCACUGUUUGGACUAGGGGCCCAUCUCGGGUUACCGAAUUCAGAUAAACUCCGAAUGCCAUUCAUUCAUAUCCGGGAGUCAGACUGUGAGUGAUAAGAUCCAUAGUCGAAAGGGAAACAGCCCAGACCACCAGCUAAGGUCCCAAAAUAUAUGUUAAGUGGAAAAGGAUGUGGGGUUGCACAGACAACUAGGAUGUUGGCUUAGAAGCAGCCACCAUUUAAAGAGUGCGUAAUAGCUCACUAGUCGAGUGACCCUGCGCCGAAAAUGUACCGGGGCUAAACAUAUUACCGAAGCUGUGGAGUACACCUUUAGGUGUAUUGGUAGGAGAGCGUUCUAAGGGCGUUGAAGGCAGAUCGUGAGGACUGCUGGAGCGC